AGAGCGAACGCUGGCGGCAGGCCUAACACAUGCAAGUCGAGCGGCCGUAGCAAUACGGCAGCGGCAGACGGGAGAGUAACACGUGGGAACGCGCCCUUCGGUUCGGAAUAACUCAGGGAAACUUGGGCUAAUACCGGAUACGCCCUUACGGGGAAAGAUUUAUUGCCGAAGGAACGGCCCGCGUCCGAUUAGCUUGUUGGUGAGGUAACGGCUCACCAAGGCGACGAUCGGUAGCUGGUCUGAGAGGAUGACCAGCCUCACUGGGACUGAGACACGGCCCAGACUCCUACGGGAGGCAGCAGUGGGGAAUAUUGGACAAUGGGCGCAAGCCUGAUCCAGCCAUGCCGCGUGGGUGAUGAAGGCCCUAGGGUUGUAAAGCCCUUUCGGCGGGGAAGAUAAUGACGGUACCCGCAGAAGAAGCCCCGGCUAACUUCGCGCCGCAGCCGC
RNAcentral lists this ribosomal RNA (447 nucleotides) under uncultured bacterium. RNAcentral's name for it is "SSU rRNA". It matches the Rfam family "Bacterial small subunit ribosomal RNA", at positions 26 to 518 of the family's 1533-position model. The record is from RNAcentral.